AUUGAACGCUGGCGGCAUGCCUUACACAUGCAAGUCGAACGGCAGCACGGGUGCUUGCACCUGGUGGCGAGUGGCGAACGGGUGAGUAAUACAUCGGAACAUGUCCUGUAGUGGGGGAUAGCCCGGCGAAAGCCGGAUUAAUACCGCAUACGAUCUACGGAUGAAAGCGGGGGACCUUCGGGCCUCGCGCUAUAGGGUUGGCCGAUGGCUGAUUAGCUAGUUGGUGGGGUAAAGGCCUACCAAGGCGACGAUCAGUAGCUGGUCUGAGAGGACGACCAGCCACACUGGGACUGAGACACGGCCCAGACUCCUACGGGAGGCAGCAGUGGGGAAUUUUGGACAAUGGGCGAAAGCCUGAUCCAGCAAUGCCGCGUGUGUGAAGAAGGCCUUCGGGUUGUAAAGCACUUUUGUCCGGAAAGAAAUCCUUGGUCCUAAUACGGUCGGGGGAUGACGGUACCGGAAGAAUAAGCACCGGCUAACUACGUG
This 486-nucleotide ribosomal RNA is filed under the name uncultured bacterium. Its description in RNAcentral is "partial 16S ribosomal RNA". It matches the Rfam family "Bacterial small subunit ribosomal RNA", at positions 30 to 507 of the family's 1533-position model. The record is from RNAcentral.